UGCCUGGUGACUUUUGCUACCAUCUGAUCAAUUGACUUUUUCAGACCUGAAUCAAGAGGAUUCCAGAAUUCCACAGCUUUGUGAUACAUGGAAUAACAAUUCGUGUCAAUUAGAUGACUGGUAUAGAACAAUGAAAAAUACUGAGUAAACUGUUAAGAUUUGUUGUUUGAUGUUAUAUGAUAAUCGCAUUGUUAGUGUAGUUUUAAGAGUUAACUAGAUGUGGGAAAAGGCGGCCUCGCAUAAGUUAGUGUCAAUCAUAUUUUGUUACUUUCAGGAGCCUUGUGGUUUGAAGAUAAAGAGGACAGAACCUGUGCAGAAGAAAAAGAGCCAGUCAAAGCCGCUCCUGCAGUUUGGACGAGAUCCAUGAAGUCACAGAGUCUGUGCAAGAACAAAGGGUUACUAGCGGUGAUGAAGAAGAACCGUGAGCCUUCAUCCCCACGACCCUCAACGACCACCACCAAGAGACACUGCACAGGGAACAAGCACUGGAAAACAAAGCAGAAGAAAUUGGCUAAGACUGAAUUCUGCUACAGUCAACUUCUUGAGGGUGGGCUGGUUUUCAGUCUGACCCAUAUGCUGCACAGAAAAGGACAGAAGAAUAACAUCAGUUUUCGAAAUACGUCCACAGCUGGCUCAUUUCAGGCUUUAGAUUGUCAUCAAGAAAUUACUAUAUAUAACAUUUUGUUUGUACUCAGUGUGGAGAAAGAAAGAAGGAAGAUCAUGAACCUUGAGAAACAGCAAGUAGCCAUCUUCUCCUAGAAGAUGAGCUUACCAAGAGUACAGUGAAGCUGCUGAAAGAUCACCUGGCACAUAUGUUUCUGUGCAGGUAAGUGUCAGAGUCCAAUACUGUCUAACCAGAUUCUUUUACACCUUACAGGCAUAGAGGGUGCAAUGCUUAAUACCAAAUGUACUUAUCUGAACAUAUUUGAUGUUAACAUAGGGUUUCUGAUAUAGCAGAGUGAUUAAGUAUAUACUGAAAAUAAAACAGAAAUAUAAGUUACA
This 1002-nucleotide long non-coding RNA is filed under the name Anser cygnoides (Swan goose). Its description in RNAcentral is "lncRNA (ENSACDG00005007091.1)". Lineage: Eukaryota; Metazoa; Chordata; Aves; Anseriformes; Anatidae. The record is from RNAcentral.